UACCGGAUGUGCUGCNCGGCCUCAAGGCCAUGCAGCAAAGGAAGCUUCGGCCUCCGCAUCGGGAGCGGCCCGCGGCCCAUUAGCUUGUUGGUGAGGUAACGGCUCACCAAGGCAACGAUGGGUAGCUGGUCUGAGAGGCGAUCAGCCACACUGGGACUGCGUCCGGCCCAGUCUCCUACGGGAGGCAGCAGUGGGGAAUCUUGCGCAAUGCGCGAAAGCGUGACGCAGCCACGCCGCGUGAGGGAAGUCGGCCUUCGGGUUGUGAACCUCUUUCAGUAGGGACGCAAGGUUCCGGCGCGAACAGCGUCCUGGACUGCGG
RNAcentral lists this ribosomal RNA (319 nucleotides) under uncultured bacterium. Its description in RNAcentral is "bacterial SSU rRNA". It matches the Rfam family "Bacterial small subunit ribosomal RNA", at positions 167 to 484 of the family's 1533-position model. The record is from RNAcentral.